UUCACUUGUGAUGAUCAAAAUAAUACUUUCCUUACUAUGAGAUUUUAGAUGUGAAAAAACAUUGGAGACCUAAACUAAGGAGAU
Small nucleolar RNA from Cryptomeria japonica (Japanese cedar), 84 nucleotides. RefSeq annotates it as small nucleolar RNA Z159/U59. The record is from RefSeq and is a predicted model, not a curated record. The transcript has a single exon. NCBI's taxonomy places the organism in Eukaryota, Viridiplantae, Streptophyta, Pinopsida, Cupressales, Cupressaceae.